GACAAACGCUGGCGGCGUGCCUAAUACAUGCAAGUCGAACGACGAAAGCCUUCGGGCAAGUAAGAGUGGCGCACGGGCGAGGAACACGUAGAUAAUCUGCCCUUCAGUGGGGAAUAACUCUCCGAAAGGAGUGCUAAUACCGCAUAAGACCACAAGCUCUGCGGAGCAAGGGGGUAGAGGAUUUAUUCGCUGAAGGAUGAGUCUGCGUCUGAUUAGCUAGUUGGUGAGGUAAUGGCUUACCAAGGCAAUGAUCGGUAGAUGGUCUGAGAGGAUGAUCAGCCGGACUGGAACUGAGACACGGUCCAGACUCCUACGGGAGGCAGAAGUAGGGAAUAUUGAACAAUGGGGGAACCCCUGAUGCAGCAGCGCCGCGUGAGUGAUGAAGGCUCUAGGGUCGUAAAGCUCUGUCGUAUGGGAAGAAAAAAAUGACGGUACCAUACAAGAAAGGACCGGCCAACUUCGUGCCAGCCGCCGCCGUAA
Molecule: ribosomal RNA, 480 nt
Filed under: uncultured bacterium
Lineage: Bacteria
Description: partial 16S ribosomal RNA
Rfam family: Bacterial small subunit ribosomal RNA
Source: RNAcentral